This 157-nucleotide ribosomal RNA is filed under the name uncultured bacterium. RNAcentral's name for it is "partial 16S ribosomal RNA". It matches the Rfam family "Bacterial small subunit ribosomal RNA", at positions 355 to 509 of the family's 1533-position model. The record is from RNAcentral.
UGAGGAAUAUUGGUCAAUGGACGAGAGUCUGAACCAGCCAAGUAGCGUGAAGGAUGACUGCCCUAUGGGUUGUAAACUUCUUUUAUACGGGAAUAAAGUGAGGCACGUGUGCCUUUUUGUAUGUACCGUAUGAAUAAGGAUCGGCUAACUCCGUGCC